This 208-nucleotide ribosomal RNA is filed under the name uncultured euryarchaeote. RNAcentral's name for it is "partial 16S ribosomal RNA". It matches the Rfam family "Archaeal small subunit ribosomal RNA", at positions 518 to 725 of the family's 1478-position model. The record is from RNAcentral. Lineage: Archaea; Methanobacteriati; Methanobacteriota.
UUCGUAGCUGGUUUGUUAAGUCUCUGGGGAAAUCUUCCGGCUUAACCGGAAGGCGUCUCAGGGAUACUGGCAGACUAGGGACCGGAAGAGGUGAGGGGUACUCCAGGGGUAGGAGUGAAAUCCUGUAAUCCUUGGGGGACCACCUGUGGCGAAGGCGCCUCACCAGGACGGCUCCGACAGUGAGGGACGAAAGCUGGGGGAGCAAACC